CAGCCCCAUUCUUUUUCUAAUGUUAAGAAAGAUUCAUUCAAGACCAUUGCAAAAGGGGUACUGCAACAGGAGAGAGAGACUGAACUCAACUCUGAAUUCAGCAAUGACAACUGGGGAUUUACUGUCAACAAGAAGAGUCAGGGGAUCUGUGCAUGGAACAUUACUAAGAGGAGACAUCAAGGAUAGGAAGAUUCUUCCUAACUUGGCUUAAUAGAACUCUUGCUAAAGCCAGACCAAGGUCUUAUGCAACAUAGAAGAAGGAUGAAGGACUUGAUCCGAUAUCAAGGGUGGGAGGAUUCUUGCUAAACUGGGUUAUGCAGAAUUCUUACUAAGAUUGGACCAGGCAGGCCAAAGGCAGGACAGGACCAAGACCAGGCUCACAGGAGCUCGAUUUAAGUUUGGUCAUGGAGAGCGUCUUAGACAAUGUUUUUAGGCAUUGUUCCUGGGGGAGGGACUUCUUUAAUUUUUGAAAGUUAAAUCAAACUUGUCUUUGUAGAAAAUCUAACUGUAGCUCCACACCCUCCUGAGUUUUUAUGUCCUUCAGGAAAGGCCACUGUCACAGUGAUGGUAGGUGGGACCUGAUAUUCACUGAUGCCUGUUUUAUAUCAGGUCCUUUCUGUAUUGCCAUCACACCCAUAAUGGCCUUGUCCAGUAGGUAUUAUCAUCUCAUUUUACAGAAGAGCAUCCACAUAUCACUGUGGGCCCCCAGCUGACCCUCUGAGCUGCAGCGAGCAUGGCUCAGGUGUCUGGGCUCCUUUCACUCUGCUUUCCUACUUCAGCCAUGUCAAGGUGCUCCUUUCCACUCUUCUGUUAUGACCCAGCACAGGAGUAAUUAUCCAGGAAGCCUCCCCUGUCUCCCCAGAUUUCCUGUCUGGCCUCCAUGUCCCUGGGCUCCCCCUGUCCCACACCAUGGGUGUGUUUGUCAACGCUCCAUGUACGCACCAGUGGGCUGUCAUCGUCUGUUUACACAACAUCUCCCCCAUUGGACUCUGGACUCCUCAGAGUGAGAAUUGCACUUUAUUUAUCUUUGUGUUUUCCAGGCCUGGAAAACAAAUAUCUGUGGGAAAAAGGAAGGGAGGGAAGGAAGGAGAGGUGCGGGGAAAUUGAGCAGAUUCGAAAGUUUUAGUUUUUCUCAACGCAACAUAUUCAGGCUGAAUGGAGAAGCAUCAUUUCUCUUUUCCCAGUUCCUUAUUUUUUAUGAAUGUGAAGGUUUAUUUAUUAUUAAAGGCAUAUUAUUAUUUUAAAAUGAACUAGGUGCUCUGAGCAAGGCAAAGAAGGCUACAACAUGGUCUUUAUAUUCUUAGAUCUUAUAAUGGAGCUUGAGAGACACACUGGUUAUGUUAACUAAAUAAGGAGCUUAUGAUUCAGAAGGGGGAGAGUGGGAGACUUAGUUAUUAAGCAUCUGCGACAGGAUAAGAGCUGAGUUAUGUGCUUCACAUAUAUCGUCUCAUCCAAUCCUCACUCUGGUGCUGUGAGCACAACUGCCCUUGUUUUAUUAAAAAGGAGACCGAGGCUCAGGUUGGGAGGACAGUAGAACAAGCUGGUAGGAAAUAUGGACUCAGGUUUGUCAAAUUACCAAAGCUUCUUCUCCAUGAACUGAUUAGUGAACAGAAAUUAUGUGGGUUGCUAAGGGGUUGUAGAGGCAGGGAGAAGAUAUUUUGUUGAUCUCUCUCUCUCUCUUUUUUUUUUUUUUGGCAAUGCUGGGGAUCCAACUCAGGGCCUUGGGUAUGUUAGGAAAGCUUUCAACCACUGAACCACACCCCAGCUUCUCUGUGGAUCUUGCACCCAGAGUCUGCUUAGCUGCCAGUCUCAGGCUAUCUUGUGUUUUCAGGCCCUGAGCCUUCUUAAAACUGACAGAAUGGCUUUAGGGUUCGGCCUCAAUUGUGGAUGGGCUCUGGAAUUAGGCUCAAAGCCCAACCCGACACAUUGGAUGCCUGUCAGGAGCCCUGUGGCCUGCCCUCUCCUUUCUUGGUAUUAGCCCAAUAGAUACUUAUCCCUGAUGGAUUUUCAGGGUCCUACAGAGGCCUCAGCCUUGCCCUCAGCCUGCUUGGCUGAUGCCUUGAUCCUACAACUGAGGAUUGCCUCUGAUUAAAGGGGUAGGAAGAGCAAAAUCAUGUUAGCCCAAGUCAAGCAGUGAAACAAACCCCUCAAGUUAUGUCAAAUAGAGAGUUGGCUCUGUAUAGCUGUUGGAUGACCUGGAGAGCAAGGGGAAAAGCGGUGCUCCCUAUAGGUCAGUUACUGCUAGGAAGCCAUUACUGCUCUUAAGUCUAGAGAAGCAAAAGGGGGAGAGUGGAGGCUGCACUCCAGGAACAUUCCUGGAACCGAUGUCAAUACAACUCCUGGAAUCCAAGAGUCCACACUCCUGCAGAUGACAGAAGCCAAACAUGGUUUCUAUUUUCUUCCUAUCUUCUUGUGGCCCAUAUAUAUUUUCCAACUGCAGAACUAGACUGGAGCCCAGCUGACCUGGGGGUCUGCAAAAUGUAGCUCUCAUGUUUCUAUUUCUGAUGGUACAUGGAAUCAACCACAUUCAGCAUUGGAUGGAAAGAAUAGAAUCAUAUGGUUUAGGGUUCAAAUUUUGGCUUUUUCUUAAUGGGUCUUUUAGGAAAAUUAAUUCCAUCUCUCUCAAUUUUCUGAUCUAUAAAAUAGAAAUAAUGAUGAUACCUUUUUUUUAAUAGGAGCACUGUGAGGUUUGAUUGAAAUUAUAUAUACAAAGUGCUUAACACAGUCCCUAUCCGUGGUAAGAAAGCUACUGAUAACAUCAGGGUAUUUCAGUUCACUUCUCUUUUAUAUAAACACAAUCUUUUGUUUCUUGAACUUCUCAUCUCUCUUCGUAACUAUCACAAUUAGUGCUCAGUUUCACUGCCUGUGAGGGUUUUUUAAAAAGACCUAAAUCCUUUGAAGAUAUUGCACCUCUGCAGACACUUUUCCACCUACGCACCCCAGAAGUGGGAUCCUACCCAUGUUGUGCUUUUCCUCAUCUCUUUAUCUUUUUCUCUUGUGAUUCCAAGGAGGAGACUGAGGCCUAGAGAUAUUGGUGGUUUGGAUAACCUACCUUCUUCUUUCCUCCUCCUUCUGUUUCCAGUACCCCAUGGUAGGAUUUGGGGGGCAGGAAUGCUUGGGUGGUGCUCAGCUCUCUCAGCAUGUUUUCUGGGUGCCCACGACUGAUGGGCACAUAGCCAGGCAGCCACUGCCAAGCCCAUCCAGACUGGAGUCGACUCACGAGACUCACGCAGCUAGGAGGGGGUUGGCAGCAGGAAGAAGAUGGUGUGAGAAAAAGAACAUCUCAUGCUCCCCUUGCCCACGCAUGAGCCGCUCCUGGAGAAAUUGGAUCCAGCCACUUUAUUCUACUUUCUGGCUCUUCAAAUGCAUUAUUGGGCUAAUUCCAAUUCAAUCCUAUUUCACAUGGGUUUAUCAAGUAUUCACACAGGUGGGUCAGGCCCAGCGGCUGGCCUGGAGGAGCUCACAGUCUGCAGAGCCAGAUAUGGAAGAGCAAAGAUGACUGUUGAGUCAGUGGUAAGUCAAGGAGUCACAGGAGGCACAGAACAAGGGCAUCUGAUUGUGCCUGGGGAUCUGGGAAGAUGUCUAGAAGAAGUAGCUGACCCAAGACUAGAAAGGAGCAGAGUAGCUGGUUUGAUGGGGGAUUUGGAGAUGAUGACAGUGGCAGAGGGAUCCGAAUGUGCAAAAGCCAUUUGGGGAACUGAGAAAGGCUCAUGUGGCUGACACACAGGGCAAAAGCAACUGUGUGAAAUGGUGAGGCUGUGAGGGAUAGGACUGGGCUAAAUCAUACAGAUCCUUGUGAGUUAUUUCUGAGUCUGAACUUUAUCUUAGGAACAAUGGACAGUCACUAGUGGUUUUUUUAAGCGAAAUGUGACAUGCUAAAUCCAUGGUUCAGAAAGGACAUCCUGGGGCUAGAAAGAAGUAAGAGAGAACCCAACAGAAGACAGGGAGGCCACUGAGGAGGCUUUACCAUUUCUAGAAAGAAACAGUGGUGACCUUGACUAGGGCAGUAGUAUAACGAAUGGAGAGAGGGGCAGGUUUAUUCAUGAGUUACUUGGGAAGUAGAAGCAACCAAUGCAAUUACAGUAGCAAAGUAUUCUUGCCAUAUGCCAAGUGCCAUUUUAAGUGUUUGCCAUGUAAUUCAUUUAGUUCUUGCAAUAGCCCAAAGAAACAGGCUCAGAAAUGCAUUCAAGUUAUAUAUAUACCUAGCAAGUGGUAGCAUCAGGAUUUGAAUUCAUGGAGUUGAGCUCUAGAGUCCAGGCUCUCAAUCCUGCACUACAUUGAGUCUGUAGGUCACAGUGGUUGGUGGAUGAUUAAGUGUGGAGGUAAGGGUGAGGGAGAAGUCUAGCAUGAUUCAGGGGCAGAGUUGAGGAAGCUGAAGGAAACACAGCUGCAUACCUCUGCAGUGGGUGGCCACCUUCGUUCAGAUCCCAUUUUCUUUCUGGACCCAGCCUUUUGCCCUCAUCUUUCCUGGUUCCUCUGGAAGCCUUGACACUGUUCAGGACCGCUAGCUCCUGCCAGAUCCUGGGAGUUUAGGUUAGCAAACAUUUCCUCCCAAGGGGGUUUCUGAGAACACAGGGAUACUGCAGACAUGGUCCCUGUCAUUGACAGUCAUGGUGGGGACACAUCUGCUUCCUCUGUCUCCCAUCCCCCAACAUGUUCCAUUAUUUAACACCUCCUAUACUAUCCAUGGUGAAGGAUCUUUUAUUUUUCCAUUUCCAAUAUGCUAUAGACCAAUAUUUUUGUAGAAUACAGUAAAAAUGCCUCAGCAAUGUCAAACUUCUCUAAAGAUUUCUAUGUCCUUGUUCUCCCGUCUCCUGUUUUGUACCUGUCUGGCUGUGGACUGGUUACGAUUCGUGGAUCAGCCCCAGAUUGAAGAUCACUUUGUUGAGCACUGCCCAAGCCUCUAUCUCCAAUUUCACCACCACCACCCUGGACUAGGCCAUCAAAAUCAUUUUCCUGGACAUCUGCAGUAGCCUCCUACGUGGUUCACCCUCAUCCUCUCUGGUUCAUCCUAGGUUAGAACUGGAGGUGUUCUCUACCCUAUCGACCUGACCAAGUCAUGACCUCUAGCACUUCUCAUUGUCUUCAGGGUGGUUCCUGAGAUGCCCACUCCUACUUCUUCCUAUCUAUUUCAGCUCUCACUGUCCUCCUUAUUCACAUACACCAGGCUUCAAGUCAAUAUACUGCUAUAGGUUUUAUAAUGAACAUGCUCUCUCAUGCCCCAGGGCUCUAGCACAGGGGGUUCCCUCUAUGGAAUGCCUCCCCUCCCCCGGUUAAUUAGUUUAUUAAUUUUUUCAUUUAAUCAACUCUUACAGGACAGUCACUAUCAGCAAAGCCUUGUGCUAAGCAUGAGACUGCACCCACCCAGCCCCUUUCUCUUAGGAACUUAUGCUAUAACAGGGAAAGAGACAAGUACGUUGACAGUGAACAGUGUCAAAAUAAAGCACAGGGACAGAGAGAGGGUAGAGAGGGUCCUGUGACCCAGCCUGGUUCAGGAAAGGCUGCCUGGAGUAGAUAACACCUGGGCAGAUCACCAAAGAAUCAUUCUGAGUUAUCCAGGCAACCGUAGAGAUGGGGUGAAGAACGGUGAGCUGGGCCAAGCUUUUACAGGGCUCAGAAGUGCCUGCCAGGGAAGGGGAGAGGGGAAUGACAAGAGUUUCUCACACACACACAAAAAAUAAGAGUUUCUCUCAUUGCCCAACUGGGCUUUACCAGGCUACAGUCAGGUACUGGAUAGUCCACACAUAAAUAUAUACUUACAGACUGAAGUGCACACAGAUGUACAAACAUUCAUGGAUUACUUUGAAAAUGUUAAGCUAAGUGAAGGGAUCCAGACACGAAAGUCACAUGUUAUAUGAUUCCAUUUAUAUAAAAUACCCAGAAUAGGUAAAUCCACAGAGACAGAAAAUAGAUCAGUAGUUGCCAGGGACAGGGGGAAGGAGGAAUGUGGAGUGACUGCUUAAUGGGUACACAGUUUCCUCUCAGGGAGAUGAUAAUGCUUUGGAAUUAGAUGGCAGUGACGGUUGUGUCACACUGUGAAUGUACUAAGUGCUAUGGAAUUAUAUGCUUAAAAAUGGUUAAUGUAGCUGGGUGUGGUGGCACAUGCCUGUAAUUCCAGCAGCUGGGGAGGCUGAGGCAGGAGGAUGGAAAAUUCAAAACCAGCCUCAGCAAAAGCAAGGUGCUAAGCAACUCAGUGAGACCCUGUCUCUAAAUAGGGCUGGGGAUGUGGCUCAGCGGUUGAGUGCCCUUGAGUUCAAACCCUGGUACCUCCCUCCCAAAUUAUUAAUGUAUGUUAUGUAAAUUUUGCCUCAAUUAAAAAAAUACAGACACUCAUAGACAUAUUCACUAAACAAACACCUACCUUGGUCCAGGCCCUGAACAAACACUAAAGAUUCAGCGAUAGUUCAUGCCCCUGAAAGUCCCACCCCUGUGAAUGAAAACACACUAUGUGAACCCAGACAACAGAAGUACAUGCUUCAUGAAAGUAUGCAGGCACAUUCAUAUAUUUAUUUAAUAAAUAUUUAUUGAGUACCUACUAUGUGUCAGGCAAUUGGCCAGAUACUGGGCCUCCAUCAGUGAACAAAUAGGGGUAAUGACUGUCCUUGUGGCCUAUGGACACAAACGCAUAGUGACCUACAGAUACAUAUCCAGAUUGAAGUUCACAAACACAAAUGUACCCAAACAAGGACACAGCCAAAGCCCACCAGCCAAAUAUGUGUUGAGUGAAAGAAAUGAGCAAUAGCACACAGACAGGCAGGCACGUCCCCUCACGCUCCCUGACAGACACACUUCUCUCAUACAAUCAAUGGAAGUUCCAUUAAAAGUCAGAUUAAAACUGGCUGGGGAUUUCAGUGCCUUCUUGGGAGAGAGGAAUAAACAGGCCUCGGUAGAAAGGCCUGGAGCGUUGAGAAAAAAAAAAAAAUCUCCAAGUCUCACUUAAGUGAUUUUUGGCAGAAAUCAAAUUAACGGCAGGACUAUGGACUGCUGACAAGGUGCUCCAUCAUGCUCUGCUGUGUGAAUGUGUUUCUUCUACAUGUUGUUUUCAUUAGCACUUCAUUUGAUAAUGAUAAAUGGCAUUUUCAUUUGAAAGGAAAAUAUUAAAAAGUUCUGAUUUGCAAGAGCAAGUUAGAAUAAAUGAUAUUAUUAUGUCCUGUCACUUGUUCAGCUUAGAGAAAAAUAAUAAUAAUGAUAAUAAAAAACCCCAACAGCUUUCCCUGCUGAAGAAACACAAGCAUUUUAUUUCUCCAGUGGGCCAUUUUCUUGCCAUCAAAUCUGUCUUUGACACAGAGACUGCUGAAAGGCAAUGGUCUUGGAUGAUGGGGGAGACAUUGUAGAUAUGUCAAAGGCCAUCAGGAGAGGGGGACCUUGAUUCUCUUAAGGAAUAGCAGAAGAAGAGAUCGAUCUUUGGCUGAAACUCUGAUGGGGGUUGGAAUGAACUUUCUUGCCUUUGGGUCAAAUUUCAGAAAAUUUUCUCCACCCUUUAUGGAAGCCUGGUCUCUUAAAAGCUUACUGUAAAGACUCCAGGAUCAUUAUCAUGUUUGACAAAAUCACUGCCUAGCUCCACACCCAUUAAAGGAUUCCUCAUCACCCACGGUAUAAAGUCGUAACUCUUUAACUUGACAUCCAACACCCUUGGUGACUUUGCUCCUGCCUCCAGCUUCAACCAUCCCCCGACACUUACUUUAUGCUCUAGUUACAAUGAACUUCAUACAACUCCCUGCAUAUGCUUUCUGUUUUACCCAGAUUUCACAUAACACCCCUUGAUUGCUCAAGGAGUGAUCUACUUAUUCCAAGAUCUGGCUCAAACAUCUCCCUAUGAGAUCUUAUUUGAGUCCUCCUCUGUAAGGGCCCUCUUUCCUUUGUUCCCAAACCCUGCUUUUACAUAAGUUCUCUGAGUACUCCCAGGUCCAGCACAGGUUCUGCUCAAAGAAAGAAGCAGCCAGUAUUAAUCAAGUGAGUGAACCAUGGCAAGAUGGUCUUUCUAAGAAGGGUGUGCCAUCUAAACUUACACAGAACUUGUAAAAAUUAAGGCCAGGGCGAGUCAAUUGGAGAAAGUUUUUCCUAGUGUUUCUUUGUAUCCGUAACAUAAACUUUCUUUUCUCUAGAGGUGAAUCAGAGUCAAAUAAGCUUGUUUGAAAGCCCAGCACAUCUUGGAAGGGUCGAUGGCAUUAGCAUGCAUUGGGAGAUUUCCAAUGUCUGGCCUCAGCCCAGGUGAUUGAUGAAUCUCCCUCUUUUCCUUUGCUGCGGAAGGAGCCUGGCACGACAGGAAAGGGAUAAGUAUCUGCUGCCUAAGGAGGAGAAUCUACUGCUGGAAGCCAUGCACUCUCCUGCUAUAAAUGCAUAAAGAGAAGAGUCACAUUUUAUACAGGGUUUGGUUCUAAAGACAGUCUGUAAAGCAAAAAUCACAGGCUUUCAAGACUGUUCACAAAUCUCUGCUCAGACAUCCCAGUGGUCACCUGUUUGACUUAAGAGAAAAAGUGCAAGCAUUGCAGGGGCCCCUGGAGCCUUUAUUCAUCAGAGUCCAGUUGGGAAACAAAGUCCACAACAGCAAUUCCUAUCUCUGCACGUGACUUGUCAGGGGAACUUUUCUCUGAUGCUCACACGACUCGGGAACUUGUCACAUCUUCCAUCUCUGGGAACGUCCUCACCUGAAAUUGAAAGUGAAAGCCAGUGUCAAGAAAGAGCCUCCAUUAUCCUGGGUCCCGCCAGCAGCUACAAUGAACAAAGCCUCCCUGCUGAUCCACAGUGGAAAUCUAAUGAGAAAUUAGAUUCUAGUCUUCAAUGUGAAUCUUCCCGUGUGCUGCUCUUCAUCCUUUCCCUAUCAGGGUACCUCACUCAAUGCCUUUCAUCUGGUUCCCUGAAUACUUGCAACCUCUUAUCCCUGUUGCCUUCAUAGGUGACCUUCUCCCUAGGCUUAGAUUAGUUCUAGAAGAGGAAAUAUGUGGCCUGUGAGAGAGAAUCAGAGUAUACGACAUGACUACAUCCCCAGCCACUAUCCCCACUGAAGUUACUGUGGUCCCAUAAAAACCUCCGAUGUGAUCCCUCUUUUCCCUGUCUGUUGGCCAGAUAGAGAUGAGUGCAGGGCCUUCAGUUUUGGCGGAACCAGCCAUAGGAUAGCAGUUUCCCCUUGGAGGAGAACUCACUCCUCAGGAACACCCAUGAACACAUUGUGUAGAUGGGAAAUAAACAUCUAUGUGUUAAGCUGUUGUAGUGUGUGUGUACGCACAUGUGUGUUUCUGUUAUAGCAGCUAGUAGAUUCCUUUACUCAGUGAUCUCAAGCUUUAGCAUGCACCAAACUCACCAACAAAGCUUGAUAAAACACAAAUUGCUGGGCCCUACUCCAAAUUUCUGAUUAUUUCUGGGAUAGGGCCUGGGGUUUGUAUUUUAUUUUUGCAUUGCUAGGGCUUGAAUCCAGGGCCUUGCAUAUGCUAGGAAAGUGCUCUACUAAGCUACACACUUGGUUCAGAGAUGUAGUAUUUUUAACAAGUUGCUAAUGUUGAUGCUGCUGGUCCUGGGACCACAUUCUGAGAACCACUCUUUUACACCAGGAUAAAUGAUUUGACUUUGUAAGAGGAAUAACCUUGGGUCUCCUGUCAAUAUGGCAUAAGCUGAAUAAGAAAGGACCUUGGUUAGAUGAUGAUGAUGUGGUGAGGAUGACAACAAUGAAAAUAAUGAAGGGCAACAUUUAUUAGGUAGUCACUAUAUGCUGUAUUCUAAAUCACCCAAUACUCUCAACAACCCAAGAAGUUAAGUAGAGCUCUUAAGUUUCCAUCUGUGAAGGGCAAGUGUUCCUAUGGUGAAGGAGCCUUUGAUGUCCCCUUCCCCAGACUCUGGAAGAGAAGAAAGGAGGAAAAUAUCCCUGGGAGAGGCUGUGGGACUUAGUAGAAAGAGUACAUAGAGCUUUGGAGUCAAGAGAAACUGGGCUGGAAUUCCAACUUCUUCGCAGACAAGCUGUUGGUGCUGUAAAAGUCACAUGAUUCUCUGCAUCUCAGAUUCUUUAUCUGUAGAGAAGGAAAAAUACUAUGCAGUUCAAAGGAGUGUUAGUUACAGAUUAUGUGGUAAAGACCCUCGGUUUAUACUCUUGAAAGGCAGCCCUGAUUAUUGCCUUUGCUUUGAGCUCCCGGACCCCAUCCCUGGGCCAGGCCUGACUAUAUUAGCACGUGGAAGUCCUUUUCCCUCAGCUGCUCCACUGUCUCUUGAGCAGCCCAAGCCACUGUGUGACGAUGGAGGGAGAAAUGCAGCUUCUGCUUCUACCAGUCUGUUCAGCUGGUUGCUGGCCUGGAACUCCAGCCUGGCUCUCCAAGAUUGCCCAGGUGCGUGGGCCAGCUGGCCUGAAUCAGAUGCCCUGUUCCUUUUGUAACCUUUCUUGGAGCUGUCCUGACCUUGGGAGCGGUGGCUGCAGUCUCACCAAGGUUUAUAUUUAACUCUCCCUGAACACAGAUGAGGCCCAGCCUCAACAGAAGGAGAAGAUGGAGUGAGAGUUAACAGCUGGAAUCUUGGCUGGAAACCUUCAGGCGUCAACUGUAGAAAAAUGGCUCCUGCCUGUUAGAACUAUUUUAAUGUCUUUACAUUAAGAAAAAAAAACAUUUCUAACUUUCCCUUUUGUUUGGUUCUUGGUCUUUAUCAAUCUACAUUGACCUUCAAGGUUUGUCAAUGACACCUCUGAAGGUCCCUGAUUGAUUUCACUUGAAUCUCAAGGCAAUAGUGCUAUGUAAGCAGAUGAAAAAUGCUUAUGGAUGUAGAGUUCAGAGAGGGACAGAUACUUGCUAAAGAUCACAAAGUUUAACCCUGACAGAAAAGGGGAUCUGAAUCCUCAGGUCUUAACAUUAUUCUAUAUUCUUUAUGCAAAAAGUUGACAUGGCAAAUGAAAUCAGUGGCCUUCUUAUAAAAUUCACACUCCUUACGAGGUUCCCCAAAGCUCCUGUCAGCUCCCCAUCAAUAUUCUUUUCCUGGCACUUUCCAUGGAGUUCUUUCUGAUCCUUCAGGUCUAGUUUCAAAGUCAUCUUCUCAGGGAAAAGACCUCUACCCUGUCUACGUAGAGCCUCUCUGUUAUUUUCUCCCAUAGCACCUUCUUUCCUAGCCUUUAUCACAGUAUGUAAUUAUUUUACUUAUUGAAAGAAUAGAUGUUGAAUGAUUUUGUAUUCAAGUCAUUUAAUUAUUCCUUUAUUCAGCAAGUAUUUAUUGAACACCUACUAAGGUCCAGGUGCUCUUUUGGGUAUUGAGGUUAUAAUAGUGAAGAAAACAUACAAAUCUCUUCCUGAUGGGGAAGUCUUUUUAGAGGAUGGAAGGCUAAAAGAAUGGAAUUAAGUGUAUCUUCAAGGGUUUGGGCUUGAGCCACAGGAAGGAUGGUGCUUCCUUUUGCUGAGAAGAGAGCAGGAUGGGUGGUUGGAUGAGAGACCAGAAUUAAUUUUUUUUUUUCCUGUUGAAUGAGAUGCCCCUUAGACAGCCAAGGGGAGAUGUCAACUAUGCAAUAGAACACAUGUCUCCAGAGGUCAGGAGAGAUCUGGGCUGGAAUAUAUAUUUGGGAGUCAUCCAAGAAUAAAUUAUAUUAAAAGAGACAACAUUAGAUGAGUAACCCAGGAGAAUAAUGUAGUUAGGUAAGAGGUCCAAGAACUCAGCCUCCAACAUUUAGAGAGGAGGAAGCUGAGAUGGCUGGAAAGGGAGGAAGAAUAUGUGGUAACUGGGGAAUCCCGGAAGGCAAGUGAAGGAGGCAUUGCAGGGGUAGAUCGUGACUAACCCGAUCAAAUGCUGCUGCAAGAUUGAAAAGGAUGAGGACCCAGAAUUGCCUGUUGGAUUUAGCCAUGAGGAGAACACUGGUAACCUUGACAAGAACAUUUUGAGAAGAAGAUCUAAAGAGAGCGUUCAAAGGAGAAUGGGGAGAGAAUCUAGGCAGUGACAAUCAUGACUCUUCUAAGAAGUUUUCGUCGGGGGAGUGAGAAAUGGGAUAGUAAUUGGAAUUAAAGCAAAGAGGGGUUUUAUUUUUAAGAUGGGAAAAGUAAUAUUUGUGUGCUUAUGGGACUGACCUGGUAGAAAGUGAAAAUCCAGUGUUGCAGGACAAGAGAGUCACACAGCGGUGUGAAGAGAGGUCACUCCUGGGUUCCUGAGUAGGUGAGAGGGUGGGUUCCAACACACAGGUGGAAGAAGGGCAAUGAACGGUUUGUUCAGGGCAACAGGAAAGAAGGUGGAGGUUUGGGUCUGUCUGUUAAGGUCUGUAGACAAGUCAAAAUAACACGUGGUAUUUUGCCAGAGAAAUGUUAGAGUUCCUAAACAAGUCUGGA
This is a long non-coding RNA of Ictidomys tridecemlineatus (thirteen-lined ground squirrel), 12278 nucleotides long. RefSeq lists it as uncharacterized. The record is from RefSeq and is a predicted model, not a curated record. NCBI's taxonomy places the organism in Eukaryota, Metazoa, Chordata, Mammalia, Rodentia, Sciuridae.